AUCUCCUGGAGGGGAAAGUACGGAGGCGGGCGGGGAAGGAGGAGUUCCUGCCUCAAAUUAGCGUCGGAAGCUCUUCCCAGCUGUGAGGACCGUGGGGCCGCUAGCUGAGCUCGCCCUCCACACGGAGGGACCCGGUUCGCCGUGGCUUUGAUGGUCAGGAGGCGCCUCUGAAAGGCGAAUGGUGUAGCCGGCCCUGGAGAACUCGGCUAGGUGGAGCCCCUGGAUGGGCGUGCCGCGCCUCGGCGCUCCGCUUCAGGAGCCCCUCUUCGUUACGCGGGCGCUAAGAAACUUAACCCUGAAACUGAGCUCGCUCCUCCUGACCGGUGCUUAUCUAGAUGCUGUUACCCGACCUGGACCCGCCUCCCUGCCUGCUCUCCUGAAUUAACUACCCUUCCAGACCGUGUUAGGAGGCCACAUCCUUUCUGAAACAGUAUGUCCUUCCCAAAGCUAGUCCACUGUACUCUUCUUUCCUGCAAAGGCUCAACCGUUUCUUUAAAGCCUUCAUGGUUGUAUUGUUCUGCAAACUUGAACUUGAUUACCAACCCGCAGCCAGUCGUUCCCACAUGUCAGCACCCGGACUGGUGGUAUCAGAAACCCCUGAGGAGCCCGACCCCAGAUAUUACGUCUGGAUUAGGGCCAAGGAAUCUGCCUUUUAGCAGGCCUCCAAUUUAUGCCUCCUUGAUCCUGAGCCAGCUCUGGAUUCUUGGCUUUUGUCUCUUAAUAUUGCCUUCCAUUAAGUCCUGGACGAACUCCAGACUUCUCUAGACACCCCUCCCCCAGUCCCCAAAUUCUUUUUUUUUAAUUUAUUUAUUUUUGGCUGCGUUGGAUCUUCAUUGCUGCGCGCAGGCUUUCUCUAGCUGCGGCGAGCGGGGGCUACUCUUAGUUGCGGUACACAGGUUCUCUUGUUGCGGAGCACGGGCUCUAGGCGCGCGGGCUUCAGUAGUUGUGGUUCGCGGGCUCUAGAGCGCAGGCUCAGUAGUUGUGGCUCGCGGGCUCUAGAGUGCAGCCUCAGUAGUUGUGGCGCACGGGCUUAGUUGCUCCGCGGCAUGUGGGAUCGUCCCGGACCGGGGCACGAACCCGUGUCCCCUGCAUUGGCAGGUGGACUCCCAACCACUGCGCCACCAGGGAAGUCCCCCCAAAUUCUUAAGGUCCCCACUUACAGGUUAUAGUUUUCCCAAGAAUUUCCAGAUUUGAUUAAAUUAUAAACUUAACCUGCCAGCCUCACACCUUAGAGAUUUUGAUUUGAAAUGGAUCACCUGCCCAGCACUGAAGACUUCACACUGAGUCAUAAGCAUGAAAAAUAGGAAACUUAUGGAGAGAAAUGUAGACCUGAAUUUAGGGAUUUGAGUGCAUUGAAUAUAACUGACGCUACUUCUGUGGCAAGAUAUGGGCCUCCAUGUGCCCUGUAACUGGAAACCCCUCUCCCUGGAGAGAGGCUUACAUAAAGCUAUGAUUACUAUGAUGCCCUUCUGAAGAACUUAUUGAUUGACCUCUGGCCCUAUAGGACUCAUCCCCCCGCACCCUGCCUUUUCCUGCCCUCUUAACUUCUAAGUAUAUAAAUUAUAGGAAAGAAUUUACUAUUUUCUGGGUGCAAGUUGACUUCCCAGUUGACAUGCAAUAGUGUGGCUUUCUCUGGGCUACCAUUCACCGCUUACCCUUCCUAGUGACAUAUACAAAUCACUAAGAUAGGAAGUUCACGAAUUGGGAGGACAGGGCUUUCCAUCCUUCCUAAGGGAGCUCUCUGCCCAUAUUAUACAGCUGCCUGCCUUGCUCCCAGGAAAGAACAAUGCUGUGAUUCCUAGGCCAC
Molecule: long non-coding RNA, 1807 nt
Filed under: Phocoena sinus (vaquita)
Lineage: Eukaryota; Metazoa; Chordata; Mammalia; Artiodactyla; Phocoenidae
Description: lncRNA (ENSPSNG00000016387.1)
Source: RNAcentral